Molecule: ribosomal RNA, 189 nt
Filed under: Triticum aestivum (bread wheat)
Lineage: Eukaryota; Viridiplantae; Streptophyta; Magnoliopsida; Poales; Poaceae
Description: partial small subunit ribosomal RNA
Source: RNAcentral
ACCAUCUUUGAGCAGAGGUUCCUCCAGAGCAUGCGGGCCAUACAAGGGGCGGUUAUAGUGUCCUCCAGUAUUCGGAUCAUCCUUGGUUACAGCCAGCUCUGGGGUAUCUUCUCCAGGUACCACCACACACUGUCAAGUACUAGUUGUACUAGUGGCCAACCCGUGCAUUCGCUCGGCCUAGUUACUUAA